Long non-coding RNA from Capsicum annuum, 5690 nucleotides. RefSeq lists it as uncharacterized. The record is from RefSeq and is a predicted model, not a curated record. NCBI's taxonomy places the organism in Eukaryota, Viridiplantae, Streptophyta, Magnoliopsida, Solanales, Solanaceae. The transcript has 2 exons.
ACUAAAAACAGCUCCACUCAUUUUUCAAAGAAAAAUGAAUAAUAUUUUUAGAGAUUAUAAAAAUUUUAUAUUAGUAUAUGUAGAUAUUUUAGUAUUUAGCAAAGAUAUGCAGCAACAUUUAGGACAUUUACAAAUGGUAUUUAGUCUAUUUGUUAAAUACGGAAUAAUAAUUCGCAAAAAGAAAAUGGAUUUAUGUAAAACACAUUAAUUUCUUAGGAAUCACCCUAGGAAAUGGGAAGAUAAAACUAACAUCUCAUAUAGUCAAAAAGGUAUUAGAAAUGCCUGACAAAUUAGAAAAUACUAAAGACCUACAAAAAUUUUUAGGAUUAGUAAAUUACGCAAGAAACUUUAUUCAAGACUUAAGAAAAAUAGCAGGACUUUUAUAUGCUAAAACAGGCUGUAAAGGGCAGAAACAUUUUAAUCUAGAAGACAUUAAAUUAGUACAACAGAUUAAAGAAAAGGUUAAAAAUAUCCCAAAUUUAAAAAUUCCACUAGAAUCCGAUUAUUUAAUCGUCCAGAUUGAUGGAAGUAAAUUAGGAUGGGGAGCAGUGUUAAAAGUUAAACCUAAUAAAUAUAGUGAUAAAAAUGAAGAAAAAAUUUGUGCAUAUCAAAGUGGACAAUAUAAAGAAAAAGGUAAUAUGCCUAGUAUAGAUUUAGAAGUAUUAGCUAUAGUACAUGGUUUAAAUAGUUUUAAAUUAUAUAUUUUAAACAAAGAAGAAGUUUUAGUAAGAACAGACUGUGAGGCGAUUGUUAAAUUUAGCCAAAAAAUAAAUGAUAAAGCUAGUAGUAGAAGAAGAUGGUUAAAUUUUAUGAACACUAUAUCGGUAUAUAAGAACAUUGUUUUUGAAUAUAUUAAAGGUAAAGAAAAUGAAUUAGCGGACCAGUUAAGUAGGUUACAAUUAAAAACAAAAUUGGUUAACCAAAACUAAUGUUUGUUUCAGCAUGCGACCACCUGGUCAACAUACAACAGACAAGGGCAAGGGAGUAGCAUCUUCCUCAUCUCAAGACAUUUAUUAUCAGAGACUGCUAGGAAACGUUAAAUUUAGACCCCAAAAUUCUAUAGGACUUCAAAAUUCCAUAGAACCAAUGGAAAGAAUAGACUUUGGACCUUUUAAUUUAAUUUCUUUUCCACCCAGUAAUUAUUUGUUCAAACUUAGACCAGAACAUGUUUUAAACAGACCCCAAUAAUGUUUGGUAGAUAAUCUUUGGAUAGCACACCAUAAGCCAGACCACAAACAUUUUUUAGCCUCUAUAAAUGCUUUAUGUCAAUAUAUAUUAGACAAAAGUAAGCCUAGAUUCAAAUAUUAUGUCAUUAUACAUGGUAAAACAAAUGAAAUUUUUCAGACUUGGUUAGAAGUAAUGGACUCUAUAAAAGGUGUAAGAAAUCUUCUUUACAAAGGUUUUAAUGAUUUUUCCGAAGCUUUAGACUAUGCAAGAGGACAUCUUGGACCAAAUUUUUAUUUAUCACCAGCCCUCAGAUAAAAUCCAGACCAGACACCCCUAAUACAAUAUUCAAAGGGAUUCAGGAAAAAUAAUUUUUUGUGACCAUUGCACCUCAAUGACCGACGCCUUCAAAAGAUCAAAUCUUCGGAAGGAAGCUCUUAUUGUGGAAAAUUCUAGACUCAUGGAGCAAAUACAGACUCUACAAGACAAGCUUAGUAAAUAUCAGACAAGAAAGACUCAUGCAAGUACUCAGACACAUAGUUCUCCAUCUCCAUAAAAAAUGGAUGAGAAGGGUGUGCAUUCUCCUCUGAAUGCUCAGAAUUCCAAUGUAUCGGAUGUUGGUACAACUAGUCCGGUUCAAACGGUAACCGGUAAAGACAAAUUAAAUCCGUUUAUGGCUGUCACUUUGCCAAAAAGUGAAGAUGAAGCAGGACCUUCAUCAAAACCACCUAGAACUAGUACCUUAAAAAAGAUAAUAAUGGCGAAAAAGAAAAAUAAACAAAUUGAAAUUUACGUAAAACAGACAUUAGAGAAAUUCUUUAGUAGCCAAGAACAAGAUAAGCAUAUGGAUAGUAAAGACAAACCAUGUACAAGCACAGAUAGGGUAGUUCCAAACAUGAACAAUACUACAGACAUUAAUGUUCCAAGAUCGUCAGAUGAAGAAGACGAUAGAUUUGAAGAUAGUCUUCUCCAAGAUGCUCAGGAUCCCUAUGAAGAUGAUGACUUUGGAAUGAGCUUCGACACCAUAGCCCUACAUAACUUGGAUACAUAGACAGACAGAAGACAAGUGGAAAAGAAGAUAGAUACGUGGAAUAAUAAGAUGCAAGUAUUAUGAUGGUAUUAUGAUAAGAGUGCCAUGUGGGUAUGCCCACUUCGAGUCUUGUAAUUAGUCAAGUCCAUGUCAGAGUGCUUCCUUUAUCAUUACUUUCCCAAAAGAAAAGAAAAACUGUUGAAGCACGCGUUUAGAAAGGAGGAAUAAUAAUGCAUGUGACGAUGGAGCCCAAUCUGUACCCGACCUGCAUUAUUAAAGAAUCUUAUCCUUAUCUGUCGGCCAUAUUGUCCAGGCCACGUAGUUUAAUCCGAGUCCACUCCUUUUUUCUUAAUUUGGUCUAUAUAAGACUUAGAAAUAAUAGCGAAAGGUAGAUCGAAAAAACUCUGAAAACCUUUAGGGUGUGUUUUGAUGGUUGUUUUCAUUGUAUUGUAUUGUUCUUUUGAAAAGCUAUACAACAAAUAUAAAGCUGAAAUUAUAUUGGCUGACGUACAGGGCCUUAAUUGUCCUUUAAGUUCAGGUGUAGGUCUUUAAUAGGGCUGUGAUAAUUGGUUUGUCCGAGUUAGAUGGAAUCGGGAUUUGAUAGGCCGUAUCUUGGUGGGACAGUCCGGUUAUAGAAUUUGCAGCCAUGGUUUAACUCCCUCUGUUUGGCCUAUGAUUUUCAAUUAUCAGUCUUCUUUCUUUGUCAAAGAAAACCAGAAACAAAUUAUCUGGCGCCUUCGCCAUCACGCGUUAAUGGAUGCUUUCGUCCACAACUUCCAUAAUUUCUUGAAAUCUAUGGAAGAAUAAACAUUUUCUGAAAGAGGGUGUGAUGAUACCUUUUUAUUGGCUUUUCCAGAAAUGACUUUUUCUCCACUAUUUAAUUCCUGUCCUCAUUUCCAUCCGGGCAAUGAGACAUGCUGGCCCGUAUCUUGGCUUGGCAAACACCGAAAUAGCCUGUGAUUUGAGGCCUUUUCUUUCACGUGGAAUCGGUUUUUUCGCAGCCAUGGCGUGGUUGUCUUCUCCUUGCCCAUGAGAAACUGAUAUCUGAGCCUUAUUUUCUGAAUGUCCUCGGGACGGUCCAGGAGUCGAACACAAGACCGUUCAUCAAAACUCAUUUUGCCGCGUUUCAGUGAGAAUUUGGGAAUUUUCCCUUAUAAUGAUGUGGUAUGUCUGGGGAAUUCUUUUCAUUUGGGAACACUCUUUUUAUGCAACCAUUGAUUAGUCUUCAAUGGAAAGUUGUUCUCUGGAAUUGGGAUUCUUCAGUUUUAUGUGUUAGACUGACGUGAUAACCAACUACACUGCCAUAACAGUUUCAGCUAAAAGAAUAAGAUAUCGGGGGAUGUUUCUCAGUUGGGAUGCUUAUGUUCAGUUGUCUUAAUUUUGUCACACAAAAAGGGGAAACAAUUGGGCUGUGAUGAUUAUGUUUGCUGAUUGUGCAUUAGAUUUUUGUUGCCUAUAUCUUGGCAUGGCAACUUGAAUUUCUUCUGUUUACCAUGACAGGUGCCAGAAAAGUUGAUGCCCCAGAUACAAAUCUGAGCCACCAGUUGAAAGCAAAGUAUUAACAGUAGUAGUAGUACUUGGACCAUCGGUCUGAUUUAUGAGUUUAAUCCAAAGUAUCCUAAAACUAUGCAACUAUUUUCUCAGAAGUGGCGGUGAUGACAUUUGCUUAUCUGGGCUUCGAAAAUAGAGACAAUCGGACCUGCAUCUUGGCUUGGCAAACACCAGUUGCUAUGUGAUUUAAGGCUUCUCUUUCACAUGCAACUGUUACUUUUGUAGCCGCAGCAUGGUCUCUUUCUCAUUUCCCCAUUAAUAACACAGAUUGAGCCUCAAAAACUGUUAAGUAGUCUUGGACAUUGUUUGGUGGAAACCUAUUUUCACUUAUUUUGAAAGCCUGCUCGUAAAUGAGGCAUCAAUGAGAAAUGUGCAACUAUUUAUUUAUUUGCUUAUUCAGUCUGUUUUGCAAGUAAGCCAAGGAUUUCUUGCUGCUGCUACUGUUGAUUCUCGUCUUGCUGCUGCAUUGUUGAGUGAACAUCUAAACAGCGAGAAUCAUUCCAUAAAAAGGUGAAAAUUUGAGGCAGUGGUGACAUAUCUUGACAAAUAGCAUUAUUUUUCUGCAUUGAGAUGAUAUUAAGACUCGUAUCUUGGCAGGGCAAUCUGUUGAAGGUUGCAGCCAUAGCAUUUCUGAGUAACUUAAUACUUAUCAUAGAGAGAUCUGAGCCUCGGAUCAAGUACUUUCUAUAUUUAUUAACUCCUUACACCCAACAACCUAUGUGACAUGUAAGACCACUAGAUUUAAAUGGCAUUUUAGUACAUUACACACCUAUGGUUCCUCCAUUAGUUCAACCAGUAGUCCUCUUCCUCUUUAUUCCUCAUAGAAAACCAAUAUCUGGCCCCUUCGCCAUCAUGCUUACUGGAAUCUUAAUAUGAGCUUAGUCCAAAACUUCCAGUGUUUCUUGGAAAUUUGGAAAAGAAUAACCAUUUUCUGAAAGAGGUGGUGAUGAUGCCUGCUUAUCUGGUUAAACUGUCAGAACAGGAAUUCCAACCCAUAUCUUGGCUUGGCAAACACCGGCUAUGAUUUGAGGUUCGUUUUCACAUGGUAUCGUUUUUUGUUUUUGGGCAGGCAUGGUAUGACCUCCUUCUCUUUGUCUCAUUAGGAGCUCACAUCUGAGCAGCAGCUCGAGAUCAAACACGAAUCCUACGACUGAAACCCAUUUUGGGCUGUUUCAGCAGCUCAAAGAACGAGAUAUCAGAAAGCAAUGGUGAUUUUUCCUUACGAAAAGAAAUCACAGCACCUUUUUUAUGUCAACCGUUGAGUAGUCUUCACCACACCAUUGCAGCUUAAAGAAUAACACUGUGGGAGAUGACUCUCUGUGGAUGACCAUCUCCGACAUUCUGACAAAGUUACAUGUUCAUGAAGUCAGGGAGGAGAAACAAUGAGGUUAUGAUGAUAGUGUUCACUGAGCUCAUUUAGUCGGGCAUUGGAUUUCUGUAGCCGGUGUCUUGAUGGGGCAAUCUGAAUUUCUGGAAUUUGCAGCUAUGGCUGGUGCAAAGAAUUCAAUGCCCCACAUAUGCUGAGCCUCUUGCAUCAUUUUUCCAUUACCAACGAGGCCAACAAGAGGAGAAAAGGACCAAAGGACUUAUGGGUGGAUGCCCCAUUAUGCAGUCUUAUGCUCCUAUCUGUCUUUAGUUAGACAAGCACAGGCUUAUCUUUGCCCCGCCCCCCAGUGACCUGCUCGGGGAUAACUUUUCGCACCACAGCUUGGGGAAUGUAUCUUAACUUUGUAUGGCAAAUGAACUCCUCGUUUUAGUCUUCUUUUCCUUCUUUGGGCUCGGUGUAAUAGUAGCCGUGGACCUUGAAGCAGAUAAUAGCUUGUUGAUAUAUUGUUUUUUGUAUUUCUUCCAGGUUCAUAGUGUUGGAGAACAUCUACUUUCAAAACUGUGGAUUCUUGUUUCAUGUUGGUGCAUGGUAAUUAUGAAACGACGAAAAAUUAUAUAA